AAGCACCGGUUAACUACCUGCCAGCAGCCGCGGUAAUACGAAGGGUGCGAGCGUUAAUCGGAAUUACUUUAAAGUAAAGCGUGCGCAGGCUGUUUGUCAAGUCAGAUGUGAAAUCCCCGAGCUCAACUUGGGAACUGCGUUUGAAACUGCCAGACUAGAAUAUGUCAGAGGGGGGUAGAAUUCCACGUGUAGCAAAUGAAAUGCAUAGAGAUGUGGAGGAAUACCAAUGGCGAAGGCAGCUCCCCUGGGAUAAUACUGACACUCAUGAACGAAAGCGUGGGGAGCAAACUGGAUUACAUACCCUGGUUUUCCACGCCCUAAACGAUGUCUACUAUUUGUUGGUGGAUUAAAAUCCAUGAGUAACGCAUCUAACUCGUGCAUGAGACCGCCUGGCGAGUACUGUCGACUGAUUAGAACU
This 418-nucleotide ribosomal RNA is filed under the name uncultured bacterium. RNAcentral's name for it is "bacterial SSU rRNA". It matches the Rfam family "Bacterial small subunit ribosomal RNA", at positions 488 to 901 of the family's 1533-position model. The record is from RNAcentral.